Molecule: RNA transcript, 1325 nt
Organism: Arachis duranensis
Lineage: Eukaryota; Viridiplantae; Streptophyta; Magnoliopsida; Fabales; Fabaceae
Exons: 4
Source: RefSeq, a predicted model, not a curated record
AGCACGCACAGUUUCCUUUUGUUCUUUCUUCAUGAAAGAAAGGAACAGAAGCAAAAGAAAAACGAGAUAGAGGGGAGAAGAGGGAGGCGGCGCGGUGGGAGUCACUGCCAUCGUCGCCGCCGUCGUUAACAAAGAGGAAGGGAGAUCUGAACGAGAAGAGAGUGAGUGACGCGAGGGAGGGAGAUGAGGCUUCGUUGCCGUCACGCUCUGCCGCACGCGGGGAGCGCCGCUGUCGAAGCCAUGCCCUGCGUCCCUGCCCGGUCGCGAUUCUGCCACUGCCAACUCUGCCGUCACUGCUUCCAUAACCUCCAACAGCACUGCUGUUGUCGACGAUAGAGCUGCCGCGAAGAGGAGGAAGGGCGCUGCUUCAAGCCUCGCCGCCAUCGCUGCUCUGAAAGGGUCUGUAGUGGUCGCCGUCGAGCAUGACAGGUGGAUGCGAAGGAGAACUCGCGUCUGAGUCUGGGAGGAGGUGGGGAUCCGCCGCUGUCGCCAGUGGAGGCCACUGCUGUGCAACGGACGUGUGAGAGGGAAGCAAGAUGAAUCCUUUCUGCUUCUGGUGCUCUGGUCUGCCGCCGCCGCCGCCGGGAUCCUUGGGCGCUGCCAUUGUUCUUGUCGCCAUUAAAGAAAGCUAACUGCUGCUGCCAUUCAGAUCCGCCACAGUCUCUGUCGGGAGCCACCAUGGGAGCCGUGGAAGGAGGGGUUUCUGCCACCUUUGAAACUCCACUACUGUUGUUGUCAUGGCUGCCACGCCUUUGGCUGCCGGGAUCGGUAUUGUGGCCGCCAGAAACUGUUUUUCUUGGGUUGAGUUCCGAUAAAUGUGCAUCGAAACUAAGGUGGUUGUUGAGCCACCGGAGCUUUCUGCCGCUACGGGGCUGUUGUCAGGUCGGUUCGGAGUCGCAGUUGUUCCUUUGUGUUAUUUCGUGUUGCUAUGGUUGUUGCGAACGUGACUGGGAGCUGAGGUUUUGGCUGCCGGAAUUGUGAUUGUGGAUUUCGAGUUGAGACGGAAAGGACUCUGUGAGACGUUUGGGUUAUGGAUUUGCGUUUUGAGGAUUUGGGCGCAGAAGUUAUGAAGAGUUUAUUUAGUUGUUGUUGUGAUGUUCUGUAUUGCUUUAGAUUAUUAAUUAUUGUACCCUCGCCUUUAUCUUGAUAUAUUCUAUAAGAGGGAUAGAAAUUGUAUUGGUUAAUGUCUGUAAUAUUAUUUGUAUAUGUAUGUAUAUAUAUGGAUGUACUCUUCAUGAGUUUUUGUAAGAUGUAUGGUCUCCUUGGAUGUACGUUAUCGAACGAAAGUAUUUUUGGGAGCGGUAUUGCGGUUUAAAGUUUUUAAA